This 344-nucleotide ribosomal RNA is filed under the name uncultured bacterium. RNAcentral describes it as "partial 16S ribosomal RNA". It matches the Rfam family "Bacterial small subunit ribosomal RNA", at positions 338 to 699 of the family's 1533-position model. The record is from RNAcentral.
CCUACGGGAGGCUGCAGUAGGGAAUAUUGCUCAAUGGGGGAAACCCUGAAGCAGCAACGCCGCGUGGAGGAUGAAGGUUUUCGGAUUGUAAACUCCUUUUGUUAGAGAAGAGAAUGACGGUAGCUAACGAAUAAGCACCGGCUAACUCCGUGCCAGAAGCCGCGGUAAUACGGAGGGGGCAAGCGUUACUCGGAAUCACUGGGCGGAAAGAGCGCGUAGGCGGGAUAGCAAGUCAGAUGUGCAAUCCUCUGGCUUACCCAUAGAACUGCAUUUGAUACUGGUAUUCUAGAGUAUGGGAGAGGUAGGUGGAAUUCUUGGUGUAGGGGUCACAUCCGUCGAGAUCA